UCAUUUUUUUUGCAGGUAAUAUUGGGUGGAAGCCUUCAGGGACGAGGAGUGAAUAAGAACCAGGGAUUAGGUUAAGGAAUGAGCAAUAUAAAGCUAAUGCAGUGUUAUUAUAAAUGUGUAAUAUCUAUAUUUAUAUUUCACGAGUGUUGUGUCAGUGAUUUCUAUACUUAUUUAAAUUGCUUAUGGCGAUGUGAAAUUCUACCUUAAAGACAUGUCAUUAAUGUGUAUAACUGUAUUUUUAGUUCAAAUGUUUUACUUUACCAAUUCAUGCCCUUGUGUUUUACUUGUUGGCUCGAUAUCUACUCUUAGAACAAAUAGUGCUCAUUGUCAAGCUUAUUUUCCAUGCCUUCCUUUCUAGAUUUGGAGGGAAUGCAACAUCUGGCCCCAUUGCUAGGAAUCUCAACCAGGAACUGUAUUUAGUGAUGGUCCAUCUAUACUAACUUUUCUGUAUUAAUUCUCUUGUUUCUUAGAAACUUUUUGAAAACAUUUAGUGUCUUAUUAUUCAACUAGUAUACCCUUUACACUUAAGUUUUCUACAUUUAAAGCGUAACUGAACUAAAAGUUUUAAUAUUUAACCAAAAAUAUCAUCAAAUUGCCGUUUCACUCUGGUUUUCAAUUCCAUUUCAACUUAUGUCUAGCUUGAAUUUAUGGGUCAUAUAUUAGCUUUUAAACAUCAGAACACUGGGCUAGGCCCGUUUUCCUCUCAUGCGUUUCAAUUUUCAAAACAAGAAUAUUCAAAAGGAAGUUAUCAUUUUCAACACGUAAAUGUGUGUUAUGACAGAACAACAUCCAGUGAAAAGUUAAGUUGGUGCUUGGUUAAGAUCGUCAAAACAUCCCAAAUUUUUAAUCAUACAUAAAAAAAAAAGAACAGAAAAUUCAUGUCAUUAUAGAGAACAAUGAUACAUUAGCUCCACAACACAAACAAUUCUUCUGCAACAAAAAAUAAAAACAAGUAUCAAACACAAGCAAAAGAUUAUAUAUAUAUAUAUAUAUAUAUAUAUAUAUCUCUUUUUCUCUCUUUGUUUGUGUGGAGUAAGUUUCAUGAACUAGAGCAUAGCAAGCUGCUGGAUAUCAUAAGGGUGAGCAUCAGAUGGAGAUUCUCUCCUAAAUGAUCGACUACCGAUCACGAUAUUCGCUGCUUCUCCCGGAUGAAACGCGUCCCAGAACACAAACUCAUCCCUGUUCAGACAUGGAGCUUGACCUGGAAGACAAGUUAUCUGUCCAUUGUUCCUCCCUACUCCACAACAUCCCGCGUUCGUCACCCUAAACCCUGAAACCAUUAAUGUAAACUAAUCAAAAAAAUGUUUCAGGCAACUACAAAUCCCAUCGUGUUAUGGUUUAAGAAGGUGAGACUCUUACCAUAGCGAGAAGGAUUAGCUACCAUGUCUUGGAAGAUACCAUAAGCAUUGAUGUAAGUGAACUUAGCGUCUCGUGUGUUUUGGUUGAAAUAGUCCACCAGAGACACGAGCUUGCUGUUGAAGAUCCUGUUUGCUGAGUUGAUCCUUUCGUCACAAGUCGUCCCGUCUCUGCUGUUCUGCGCCAGCUCGUUAGGGCUACAUCCUAUUGCGCCGAUACCAAUUAACGCAAACUUCCUCGCUCCAUUGUUAUACAAUAUCUACUCCAAACCAAACAAAAAAACAGAGGAAACAGAGUAUAUAUAAACAUUAGACACAAAAACAGAGGAAACAGAGGAUAUAGCACGAGUAAAUGAACGGACCCUGAGUUGCUCGGUGUAUCGGUUGAUUAGAUCGUUGGCAAAGGAAUCUGGAGAGUACUGGUUACCGGUGGAGUAGUAUAGAGGCAUAAAGUAGUUGUUGAGAUAGUCGUUACUUCCCAAACCGAUCGAGUAGAUGCAUUUACUUAGGUAAUUAGCAGCUUCGUUCUCGUCUCCGAGAAUGUUCACCACUUGCGACACAGUGUUCACGUGAUUAGCUACUUGCCCUGCAAACGUUAUUCUAGCUCCCUGAAACCAAACAAAAGUGGAAAGACAGUUAUGCUUCCUAGUCAAGAAACUUAAACCCUAAAAGUGAUUGAAUGACUUACCAGCUGACGGCCGGUUUCUUCUCGGACUCCGGCAGCUGCAGAAGCGUAGUUCACUCCUCGUAGGAUGUCUUCCCCGCUUGCUUGAGAAUAUGGUGUAAUGUAGUCAUCGAAACCAAGAAGCUCAGCUUUUCAACGAAAACACAACAAGUUAGUUGUUUUUUUUUGUUUUCAGUAACAUGUUUUUUUGGACAAAAUAAGAAAUAACAGAAAAAGGGUGUUGUUAUAAGAUUACUGAUGACAUCGACGGUUGUUUUGCCGUUACAGAACCUGCCGGUUGGACCAAACUGGAAGUCGAUGCCGUAAGGGAAGUAGUCAGCUCUUGCUAAGGACUGAAGCUGAUUGUUGUUUCCACUAUCAACCAAAGAAUCACCAAAUAUGAAGUAACACGGUGCUAUUGGUUCACCUAUAGCCACGUUCAAGACCAUAGCUACUACCAUCAUCAUAAUCAUUACACAAACUCUAGCCAUCUCUCUGGAAAAACCUUAUCCGGUAAAAGAGAGAGAGAGUGCGUGAAGAAGAGGAGAGAGACUUGUCUGAGAACGUGAAGAAUGUAAAUGGGUGUAUAUAAUAGAGGUCAGAAGAAUAUGGAGGGAAUUACAAAAGAACAAUAAAAAAAAAAAAAGUUUUGAGCUUUUGAUAGUUGGAGAAGCAUUUAAUGUCACGCGGUGAUAAUGUUUUGUGUAGAUAUGUAAAGUAACUCUAUAAAUAUGGAUCUAGAAACAGAAAGAGUGUAGCAGAGUUAUUAAUACUCUGUUUCUUAAAGUACUCAGGGCCAACUUGUAUGUAAUGUGAUAAGUCUGUUAUUACACUUUGCCAGAAAAAUUAAGAAACUUUAUCUUAAGAGGGAACUACAUGUUUCAAUCAUGAUUGGAUUGUUGAUGGGUUAUUAAAGUAUUAGGAAGUUGAUAUUUGAAACCAAGAUUGAGAUGGUGACAAUGACUUCUUUUUUUUGCUAACAUUUGGUGCAAUGGUGACAAUGACUUACUCUUUUGUUUAGCUUGUUUUGCUAUAGAUGGCAAAUUGUAAUAAAAUCAUGAGAUGUGAGUGAGGGCCACUUGCAUAAUCUUGAUCAUGUGUCCUGUGUCCUGGGAUUGUGGCUAUCUAACGGUUAAGACUUAUCAUGGUUGGCUUUGAGGGUGAGGUAUGGAUGUAUGUAUUAAUGGAGGUAGAUGGAAGAAACAUUAAAUGGGAAGAGGAAGAGACACUAUGGCAUGAAGAUCAUCAUCAUGAUAAAUAAAAUAUGGUAGUUGGAGUUCAUAAAUUCUUUGUCUUUGUUCAUGCUUCUUGUUCAGUGAUAAAUAAACAAAGUAAUCACUUUGGGACACAGAUUCAAGUUUACUGUACUUAGUAGCCACCAAACGAAUUAACAAAGACGAAAUUAAAAUAGGGUUGGUAAAUAAUGAAGAUAGAAUGGAGCAUUUAAAGAAUGAUAAAUGAAGUUGUUGUUAUAAUGUGACUUUGAAGUUUUGAAGUCAGAGGUACAUAAAUUUGAAGCAUGAUCUUGUGGGGUUUUGGAACAGGGUAAGUUAGUUAAGCAGCCACUCUGGAUUCUUUACCAAAAUAAAGAAACCAUUCAAAAAAAAAGAAAAAAAAAGAUAAGAACAGAAGAAAUGAUCAUGUCUACACCAACCACAUGCAACUAUUUAUGAACACUACAAAGCAUGAGUGUCAUUUAACACUGACAAUUCAUUUGUUUUAUCAAGAAAAAUGAUAAGUUUAUUAAUGUAGAUUCUUUCUAGCAUCUUCUUGGUGAAUUAACAGUUUAGAUAUCACAAUCAGGAUUUAAGAGCUUUGGGGUAAUGUUUUUCACUAGACUACUCGACUCGUGACACAAUCGAUAGCAACACUUGCACUUGAGGCAUAGGAAGCCAUGUUGCUUACUUGAAUCACACGGUGCGAUUGGCUUGUCUUCAAAGCUCCAUAAACCGCCUCUUUUUUCAUUUGGGAGUCCAUAUAGCUGCUACUUCAGAGUUGUAAACAUCAUGGAAUGCUUUAUUAGCGUUCUAUGAUGUGCUUUCUUCCAUUACUUUAUGUAUCUCCUUCCUACAAUAAAAAAAAAACAAAACUUACUAGCUAAACAACCGAAAACCUGUACUUGUAGUUUGGUGGUGAUUAACUUAAGGGCAAAAACCCAAUACAGUGAAACCACCAAGAUUCGAAUCCUAGCCACUAGGAAAUUAACAUUUCGGCAUCACCAGAGACAAAUAACCGAUAUGUGACUAGUCUAGACCACUUCUGUAGGGUCAUGAUACCCAUGUAUAAUUCAAAAAAAAAAAACCAAGACAAGAAAACGUAAACAGUUACUCAGGAGAGAUAUGGAACCAUACUUUAGUCAAAACUACAAAUAUCACUUGUUUGAUUCAAGAACUGAUGAAGAAGAUCAAUUGAACUCACUGAUAAUUCCUGCAGGGGGAAUCCCAGGAGAUUCAAUACAAGUUACAUAGCGCCAUUACUGUUCUGAUUGAAGAUUUUUUAUAAAAGGAACGGUGCAAAUUGAUUCAGGGUUUAUAGAUUCGAAUUCGAGUGAUGAUUGAUAAUUCAGAAGAAGCAAUUUGGUAAGCCGAGGCAAUUCUGUUAAUUUAAUUACUACACCGACUAAUAACCGAAACAAUUUUGGUUAAAAUUUUAAGUCAACCUGAUGAUUUAGAAUGUAUAUAUUGGGCUUUUAAAUUAAAUAUGGGCCUCAUUUGAACCAUUUUCAGCAUUGCUUAUUGCUUGCUAAUUGUUUAUGACUGAGCAAGUUGGAGUUCCUCGGUCACUCGGUGUCUGAUUAUCUAGGAGACUAGGACAUAUGAUCUACUAUUGUUUUAGUAAACCAAAGCAAGUUGGUUUAACCCCAUUGUUAAAUGAUUAGACCGUGUAUGUCUUCAAAAAAAAGACCUUUUAUAUACAUAAAGGUGGGCAUCACUCUUUGACUCUUUCUAUUUCUUUUUUUGGUCAAAGUAGCAUAAGUUUAAGAAAGACUUCUCUUUUACAUAUGAUACAUAACAAAUGGAGUAUAUUUUAAUCAUCUAUAAGUUUUACUUGAAUUGAUCAUUUAAAUUUUAGUUCUACAGUAUUAGAUUUCAUUUUUUAGAGUAUGUGAUCCGUGAUAUUGAUUCCGUUGAUUAGGACGAUUUGAGGUGUUUCAUUUUAGUACAUGAUGACUAUCGUCUAUGACCAUCUCCAAUCAGGGGCGGAUCCAAGAUGAGUUUUAGUAUGGGACAAUUGCACAAAGCUAUUUUCUGAUAAUUCAAAGCUUAUUAUAGAUGUAGUUGAUUAAAUUUAGUAUUUUCUCCGUUUUAAAAUGAUCUAUAUUUUAGAAAAAAAUUAUUUCUAAAAGAUUCUUAUUUUACUUUUUCAAUGUAUGUAAUAAUGGUAAAUUUUAAAUUUCAAAGACAUUAAUUGUAUUUACUAAACUUAGAUUAGUUAAAAAUCAUAGAAAACAACUAAACACGGAAAACAAUGCAUCUAUUGUCAAAAUAUUACGUAUUUUUUUUAAUAAGUGUGAAAGCUAUAGAAUAUACAAUAUUUUAAAACGGAAGGAGUGUUAGUUAUUAAUGAGAAAAAGGUAAAGUGUGGCACAUGCCACACCUCCUCAUGCCUUUUGGGUCCGCCCCUGUCUCUAAUGAUACUCUAUAAUUUAUUAAGUAUAUCACUUUAAAAUAUAGUAACUUUAUUAUGGAACUUGAUUUGUUAUAAUGAUUUACUCUAUAAUAAAAUUACUCUAUAUUAGAAUAGAAUAUAGAGAUAUGUUGUUUUUUUUACUUUAAAUUUGAAGUAAAAAAACAUUAUUUUGGAGAUGGUCUUAUAGAAUAACUCUAUUAUAGAGUAAAUCACUAGAGCAAAUCAAACUUUAUCAUAAAGUUACUCUAUUUUAGAGUGAAAUAUAGAAAAAAUUAUAGAAUACUAUUAGAGAUAUUCUAAGACAGAAAAUCGAACAAUGUUCAUUGUAUCUUUGUGAACUUGAAACUAGGCGGUUGAUUAUACCAUUAAAAAAUGUAGAUCACUCUUUCAAAGAAUGUUAGACCUAGGAAUAUAACUGACUCUGUACACAGUUGCUCUUAUACCAUUAAAAAAUGUAGAUCACUCUUUCAAAGAAUGUUAGACCUAAGGCGCAUGGAUUUCCAAUUUAGUUACUAUGUACUCCCUCCAUUUCAAAAUAAUACAUAUUUUAAGAUUUUCACGCUUAUUAAAAAAAAAAGUUUUAGUUAUUAAUGCAUAAUUUUUUGUAAUUUUAUAUUUCUUAUAUUUCUAAACCAAUAAGACUUCAAGAAAUGCAAUUAUUGUUCUUGAAGUUUAUAAUUUUUGAUUAUUAGUUGACAAAAAAUGCAUUAGAAAUAUAAAAAACACAUUUUCUUAAACAAAAUUUAUUUCCAGAAUAUGUAACUUUUUGAAAAAGAGGGUUUUCUAGACUUACAUGUGUCUAGUUGAAGAAUAGGUGUAAAUAGAUAUUAACAGAUUCUAGCAAGACCAAAAAAAAAGGGAACUCUUCUCUAUUAAAAAAAGAACUCUAGGGAAAAUUAACAUCAACGUCCAUGUGACUAAGAAGAUUCCAUACAAAUUGGUAUAUAUAGCUAACACUUUGUCUCUAUCUCCACUUCUCCCCAAUUAAGUUGUAUUAAUAUCAUGUUAAACCAUUUGUAAUUAAUCAAGGCACACAAUCUAUGAUUCAUGCAUGAUAUGACUAUAAACAUAUGAUAUAUGAAAAAGAGAAGAAAAAUGCAUCUAAUGCACCGGAUUGCAUAUAUAUACGCUUAUUUGAAAUUCAUUAAGGGGUUACUAGCACUAAUGCACUGAAUCCCAUAAAGCUCUAGCCAAGAAAUAGCAUUUUUUUUUUUGCUAAACAGAAAUAGCAAAGAUUUUAAAUAACAAAAUGUAUAGAUGGAAAUGAUAGCAUGAUAAUAUAUAGUUGUGUAAUGAUAAUUCAUAUAUAGGAAACAAUGGUAACAUAUAAAAUGACAUUACGUACAUAGUGUUAAACAAUUAUAUUUUUGAACAAACCAUAUAUUCAUUAACUUAAAAGGCUGCAAAGUUGAUUUUGCAAGAGAGAAUCAGCCUCAACAUUACGAAGUCGCGGAACAAAUUUAAAAGAGAUAGAAACAAGGGAUCUAGAGGGGAUAUGAAUAUCAUGAAAAAUGCCUUGGAUGUCCAUAAGCUUAUCUUUCGAAGACAAAGCUGAGAUAAGGGUUUUGGAGUCUGACCAGAUAGUGAUCGAACUAAACCCUGCCGACACUGCAUCUGAGAGAGCAGUUUUGACCGUAAGAACUUAUGCAACUAGGUCAGAGCCGACAUGGCUGCGGUUUGGAGACAUAGACCAUGAAACACCAGAGAUAGGAUCGUUAAUGACCCAACCAAACCCACCAAGUUGUGACGCCAAACUCCAUGCUGCAUCUACAAAACACUGUGGUUCCGCGGGCAAAGUAUUGGGUUGGUUAGACUUACUGGUAGUUAUCGGGAGAGAGAAGGGGGCCUUGCAUUGUUGAGCAUUCUGCCAUGGGCGUGCUUCCUUGAUAGCCAAGGUAGCCACUUCCUGUUCAGAGAGCAGAACAUUUUCAAAACAUAACUUAUUCCUUGCAGUCCACAGGUACCAAAGGACCCAGGGAGACAGGGCAGCAUCCGGUAUGAGUUGUGUGGUCGAGUUGACAUUGAUAGACGAUGGCAUAUGAAGAGCUGGGAUGAGAUUCCACACGCGGUUAGCAAAAGGAUACUCGAGGAAGAAGUGGAGGUCUGUCUCAUGUUGCCCACAAUGUUUGCAUCUGAUAUCGCCAGAGAGACCUCUCCCUGCCAGGUUCAAUCCAACUGGAAUGGCACCGUUUUGAUUUUCCAGAGAAGGUGUUUCAGUUUUAACAUUCAAGAUGCAUGCUUCCCAGUUGAAUUCCAAGUUAGGCGAUUCAGAAUUGAUUUCAGGAGCGCAUAUCCUGAUUUAGUGGAAUACUUUCUAGACUAUGAGGCGAGCCAGACUAUAUCAUCCUGCAUAUGAAAGGAGCUUGGAAUAAUCAGUCUAAUUUGAUCCUCAUACUGAGGUAAACAAUUAGUUCACCUUUUUAUCAAAGAAAACAAUGGUUUCACUUUCGAAAUGUAAAGUAAGAAUGUUGUUUAUGUUUUUUUCUUAAUACUAGCAAAGCAGUAUGCACCAAGAUCACAAAGCAGGAUACGUAAAACUAGCAAACUAAUUAUUUGAGUUUGUAUGUAUUUGGAAUGGUUUCAAAUUAUGAGUAUCCAACAUCUGAAAUUAUCGAAGGGACCACUAGGAGUAGGAACCACACUUGUCCAAAAAUAUCCUAAGUUUUGUCAAGUCAUUGUCUUUAUGAUGAGAUUAUUUGCAUCUAUCAAAUGCCCCAAUUCGUCCAAUGUCCAAUUCACUCGACUCUAUCUGUCUACCGUUCUGUUCACUUUGAUUGUCUCUUUUCACUUUUAAGAUUUGUAGUAGGAUAAGCACAAAAUUUGAUUUCACCGAAUUGUUCCAACAUUAAAUCAUAUAAUAAAUAAUGGUGUGUGCAAUAAUGCAUUUACGUACCGUGUUUGUUUUGUUGUGAACACGUAAAAACGUAAAUACAAAACUACUAUACAUCUUAAAACGAAUUGUUUUGUUUUGUUGUGAACACGUAAAGACACCACUAGUCAUAUAAAUAUCUAUACUACAAAAAUACAAAAAGGAGCAUAUAACAAUAACUUGUGCCAUCCUAAUUUGAAGUAUUGUUUUCUGAACAAAGAAAAAUCUUUUUAAUCAUUGGACAUUUCAAAACUAUUACCUAACUAAAGCCUGAUAAUUUGUAUACUUUUGAAUUACCACUUAAAUACAUUUUUUUUGUUUACUUAAAGUUUGAUAUACUUCCCAUUCAAUAUUUCAAUAUUUGGUUUGUUUUGUUUGCUUUGCACUAAAUGCAUUUAUUUCGUUUGUUUUGUUUCACACCUAUCAAUCAUUCUCUAAUUUUAGUUUUGUAAGAUUUAACAACUAUAUGAUCAAAAUCACAAAAGAAAAUUUUGCCUCAACCAUCGAAGGUUCCUAACUCUAUGAUGGUUUGAUGGAAUCAAUCAUUUUCAGUAACCCUUUUUGUUAUAUGUACCCCUCAAGGCAUGUCUUGCUCACUAAUAAUCGUGUCUCAAUUAAUAAAAUCUUGCUUUUGCGACAACUUCACGGAUAAAUUUUUUUUGUCAAGAAAAUAUAACUAAAUAACUCAAUAAAUUUUAAAUUUUCUUUGGAAUCACUCAACCAAACCCAGAGAAAUAUCAAAGAAGUUCUGUUAUAUUUCAAGAAGUUCCUCAAUAUUUUACUUUUAAUAACUUACUUGAUAUUUUUAAUUUAUUGAGUUAUUUUGUUAUAUGAUUGAAAGAUUAACUUCAUUACAACUUCAUGCCGUACUAACUUAAUACUCCCUCCGUUUUUUAAUAUAAGUCGUUUUACAGCUAUGCACAUAGAUUAAGAAAAUCAUUAAUUUUUUAUAUUUUCUAAAUAAAAACAUCAUUAAUUAUUUACCUAAUCACAUUUCAACCAAUAGAAAAAUAGAAGAUAUAUUAUCAUUGGUUAGACAGCAUUAAUUAUUAAUAAAUUUUACAUAGAAAACCGAAAACGACAUAUAAUUUGGAACAAAAAAAUUUCUCUAAAACGACUUAUAUUAAAAAACGGAGGGAGUAGUUUGUAUAGCGCGUUAAUAAUAAUCAUACACACAGUUUGUUUCCUUUAGAAUCAACAUUAAUAUGCAGUUUUAACAAUUUAGAAGAUGACUUUUUAAGCCACAUUUGAUUUUUUCCCUUUUUCUUCUCCGAAAGCAACGAAUUGUUGGCCGUUAACAAACGCCGCCAAGUAAUCACCAAUGACCCAGUUCUGGAUAAUUCGGACACGGCACCGUGUGGUUCAAGUUAGCGCACGAGUGGAAGGGAAUAUCAUAGCGUUGAGCGAGUAACCGCGCAGCCACGAAACGCGCAGGACUUGCUUUCAGUAGCGUUACACCUACUCAGCUUCGCAAUCAUUGAAAUUUCGUAGCAAGUGUAAAUAGAAUUUUUUUUUCCUGAAGAUGUAAAAUAAACUUAAUUUAAUAAUCAUCAGUAGAUGAGUUAAUUUUUUUUUGUAGAUGAGUUAAUUAAUACAUACAUCAACAAUAUAUUUAUUUAAACAGCUAGAUGCAAUGUCAGAUAAAGAAAAUGUUAAGAACUUUGAAGUUUGAACUAUAAAUUACUAAAAUAUUAUAUUUGUAUUUAUAUUUCGAUCCACAUAAUUUAUAUGCUAAAUAUAUUCGAAUAGUUGAAAUUAUUUUAUAAUAAUAUAUAUACAGGGCCAGACCUUAAUAUUUUAGACCCUCAAAGAUAUCAAAUGUAUUGGCUCAUUAAUAUUAGCUUUUGAAAAAAAAUUCAAAAACGGAUUUGAAUUUGUGAUCUUCAUUAUGCACACAAAGACAAUUACCAAUAGAGUCAUAGGCAUUUUUACUAACUAUUUACCCCUUAAAUUAUUAAAACAAUUUUAGCCCCAAACACAUAUUUUGAGUAGCUUCUAGUUUUUUUCUUCCCAAAUUGAAAUUCAUUCAUUCACAAAAUACCAGUAUUCAUACAAAAGCCGGCGGCCAAACUAAAUAACCUCAGAACCAAGAGCCCAUAGAAAACGACAACUAGAAUCCAUAUUGGGGCGACUCGAACCCACACAGGGAUGACUUACCAAAAAACAUAAAACUAGAUUGACAGUAGAACCAGGAACAUUUAACAUAUAUGCGUAACACAUCAUAACACCUAGCAGUCUUUCGAAAAGAGAAAAUGCCAAUGAUCAGGAGUUACCGUUGCUGCUUAUAGCCCGCCACCCGGUACCUUCCACUUCUGCAUCCAAACCACACUUAUCGCUGCUGCCUCGCCCACCAAACGAUAAGAUCAAGACCCAGAGACUUCAAAACUCGACAAGGAGAACACGCUAAUCGAUCCACACGCCUUGGAUACAUAAACACUUUACGAUCUCAGAAAGAAGCCCACCCAAACACCAAGACGAUGAAGCCUUGCCAACCGAACGUCUCCAUGAACACUCACGGGAGAAGAACCAAAUGCCAAGCAACCAAUGGACACAUUACCCCUAAAAGAGAGACUGCUAAGUCACAACUAUCAAAACGCUUACUACCUUUUCCAUACCGAUUAAGACUCACAAACACAAAGAUACAAGAGUCCUUUCAACACUCUAAUUAUUGACCAGAGAUGCAAAACACGGGCUUGAUACACCCGCCACUACGACAAGACAUGCUUGAGACACCCACUGUCCUGAAGACCGAAGCCAUCGAGACUCAUCUUGAGAAGAGUUGAAAAACGACUCCGAAGCCGAGAUAUUAAGGCUACCGAAGAACAAAGACAACGACUUCCUCACAUCGCCACGGAGCCAGAGACCAGAACCGCGACAGGAGACUCACUUCAAUGACCAUCCACCGGCGGAACGGAAACAGAUCUGAAAAUUGUCCGCCAGAUCCAACAACUCGAAAAACCGACUCCACCUCUUCCCUUGACACCACAACCACGUCUAGACACCGGAGACGACCACCAUCCUUCCGAUCUGUCACUGGAUCUCCAGAUCGAAGGCCCUAAACUCCGACGGCGCUCUAGGGUUUCGACAAAAUGGCUAUAGGACGAAGGGUUGAAGGAGGAGCAAAUAUAAAAGAGGAAAGGGUUAGAGGGGAGCCACCGGCGAAGGUGCAGAGGCCACCAACGCCAGCGUAGAGAGAAGGAAGGGUUUGUUCGCAGUCUCCGCUUUGUUUGCCGCUUUCAUGUGUAUUUCUCUGUCCUUGUUACAAUGAGUAGCUUCUAGUUAGGCCGGCAUAUAUAUAUAUCACAAAUUGGGAAACUAAUAAUAAAAUUCUUUAUUCGUUUCAAAAUAAUCCAUGUGUUAGAGUUUUCAGACAUUAAUAAAAUACUAGGGGGUUUUCCGGGCUACGCCCGGAUUUUUUUCCUAUAAUAUUAAUUUUUAAUAUGAUAGUAAGAAAAUUGUAUUUUUAAUUUUAAUAUUUGAGAUCAAAAUAGAUUUCACUGCAAUAUCUUUUUUCAUUUUUCCUUAUUUUUUAAUUUCCUUUUUCUGUUCCUAACUUAAUUGGGUUUGAUUGAUCUUUAUAAUGUAUAUAACUCAAUUUCCUCAACAGCUUAUACAAAUAUUGGAUCUGGUCAUCUGCUUGGGAGUUAGCCUUCUCAUUUUCACCUUUAUAAAUACAUAAUAGUUUUGAAUGAUUUCCCAAGUUCUGAUACAUAUACACACUCUUUUUUGUAUCUUAUUUGUCAUAGAGUCAAAAACAUUGAACUCAUGUGAUAUACUAUUAAACAAAAGUACAAAGUGAACUGAAGAAGCAAGUUUCCACUAUGAAUCCCUUAGAUCGCAAGAAUGACUUUUUAUUUUUAAACUCUAAUUUUCCGAGUCUCUACUUGUAAUGUCGCUAUUCUAUAGUUCAGAAGCUAGAUCGCAAGAUGACUAUAUGGCUCAACCCUAUAAGCUAUGAGCAACACACUAUACCAUAUCCUACCGCGGCUUAGACAUCCUUUGGCUUGGAAAAGACAAAAGCCACAAAUCUCAUCUAAAACUCGUAAAGCAUCAGCUCUAAUGAAACUAAAAUGAUCAAACAUUGAACUCAAAAAAAGAGAUCAUUGUACAUAGUAUAGCCAACACAGAUCAUAAGAAAGAUAGUCAAUGAUGCAAAGAUAAAGUCUGAAAUUGGAAAAAAAAAAACAAAGCAUAGAGUUUCAGUAACCAUAAAACCACCACUUAACACACCUUAGCCACAUUUGGCUCGCUUGGGAUCUUCUGCCUCAACAUUAUCAGCAGUUCUUUUCACCCCCUGACCAUCAGAUUCUUCAAAACGUGUGGAAGGACCAUCCUCAGCAACUCCCUUCUGCAAAGGUUCAUGGGCAUCUGGUAAAAUCACAUUUCCUACUAAAUUGCCUUCAAGUUCUAGAACUUCUGGAGUGAGCACCUUUGUCACAGUCAAAGACUGGGUCUUGCCGGUCAAAUUGUGAUUUGAUACCUUCACAAUGAAUUUGUGAGUCUGUCCUAUGGAAUCGAUCAGAGCUUGAGGCACCGGGACCAAAUGAUCAUCUCCUACAUCCUCAUUGGCCUAACAUACACUUAAAACAAUUAUUACUAUAUAUUUCUAAAUAUAUGGGGGAGAAGACAGUUUCACAUAACAAAGAAUGGCAGGUUUGCAACUACCUCGAAAUAACUCUCAACCAAUUCAGAAGCUUUCUUUCCAGUCAACUCAUGACCAGCAUCACCAAGGAGAACAAAAGACGCAUGAUCAUCAUUAUCGUAGACAGAGAUCCUGGCUAAGUACCUGUGUCAUGGGCAGAUUAUCAAUGAAUGUAUUGAAGUAUGAGUGUAUGUAAAUCUGAGCCACUUACUGUGCAACACCAACAAUAUCGCUUUUCCCACAUUUUUUACACAUAAGGGUGGUAGGCCCUUUGGUUGCCUUAGUAUGGCACACACCACAGCCUAUGUAAUACCAUGCUGAACCAUGCGCAACAUCACCAAUGGUUGCUAUGCACUCGAACCAAGCAACCUGCAAAAUAUUAAACAAUUAAAUGAGAAACUAUGACUAUCAUAUUGAAUGUGUUAUUCAUUGGCACUGUACGACCUUGGCAGCUUCUUGCUUCAUAAAGGAAAAGAGCUCGCCUAUAGUCACUGUCUCAGUCUUAGUGACAACGUCUGCAUCAACUCUGUUAGCAACAGCUAAGUUCGAGUUCAACCUGAGCAAACAUCCAAACAUCAAAUACAAUGAUGGAAUAACAACGAACAACAUUUAAUAAAGGAAUGCUUACCAAGUGAGAUAAUCACGGGUUGCUUGGACAUCACUGUCCAAAAAUACACGUGAUGAUGUCAUAGUGGAGAGAGUUAGGGCACCUAUAACAGAUCCAGUGUUAUAAUACAGAGUCAAAAUUUGAUGUAAAAUGAGAUGUAUAAUAAUAUAUAUAUAUCCAUAAUAUUUGUUAUCUCAGAACAUAACGGUUCCCUCAUAGCUAAUAAGCGCCAAUUUCUAUCAAAUGCAGUCAUAUUAGUUAAAACUAACAUGACCAGAUAGAUUCAUUAACCAUCCUAUGUACUUCUUAAAACAAUAAGUAAAGUUGAUAAUACGAACCUCCAAAUCGUUUCGGGUUUAAGGUGGUGACCAAAAUAACACGUGCAGUUCCUCCAGAUGCUUUAAUUUUUCCACUAAAGUCAAAAGCAGCCUUAUCCCAUAGGUACAACUUCAUCACCGGACCACUACAACAUCGAAAACUCGUGUGAUAAGAGAGACAAAAGGAUGGAUGAAUUUACCAAAAUGAAAAGUAAAAAGAUACAAAUUAGCUUACUCAUGAGUUUGAACAUGAAGCAGAACUCGGCGGGAUGAAGCUAUCUCAGCAUCAUCUAUCACGAUACUGUCACUAAGAACCUGCCCAUUCACAAGUUUGAUGUGGCCAACAUAAUCUGCAAAAUAAAACAAUCAAACUCAAUGCUUUAUAUUUUAUAACCCAGCAACGAAAUCUAAAAAUGUAAGUCGGGAUCAAAACACAAUCCUAGCCAACAAUGCUGAAUAUAUUUGAUCGAUUGAAAACAUAUCAUCUAAGAUCAGAUUAAACAUUAUCCUAUACAACAGUGAGGACCUACCAUAAAGAUCCCCUUUCAAGUCGCAAGCAGCAUCGAACUCCUCAUAUCCACGGAACCGGAAACGGUCCUCAGGGAUACAAACCAAACUGUCCUCUAGAUCAGAGAGGACAGAAGUCGAUGAGAAGGUGAUGGUGACACUUGGGUCGGCUACCCGAUACAAAGUCUUGUUCUUAGACCCGUAAAAACUGUUGAGCCUGUAAAUGCCACCAGCUUCCAUGUGUGGCAAAUAAGUCUCUAUCCUCCCAGCUGGAAUGAAGCCCUGGAUAACAGUUUCCUGUUAACAACAUUAAACAAAUUAAAUCAGAAAUGCUAGAGAGGAAAUCUUAAAAAAAAAACAUUAAAGAUAUAUAACCCGUACUGCAUUAAGCGAACAAAAGAAUAAAACGAUAAUUUGGAUUUAAAAUGAUUUAUCAGUAUCUCAGCUAAACAAUUUUUAAACUAAACUGUAAUAAAGAAUACGGUUUAUUACCUCUUGGUCGAUGAGAAGCAUCUCGAGACCAAUAAUCACCUUCGUCAGAACAUUUCUAGCUUCCCAAAAAUGGAUCAACCGAAACCUCAACUCGCCUUGAUUAGGUCCGAAUUUCACAUCUUUGAAAGCCAUCACUUCCCCAACAUCGGAGACAAUGGCUUUUCCCUUGACGCCAGAGGAGACAGCAGCUUUGCCUCUGACGCCUGAAGAGACACCGGUCUUCGUGGUGUGAAUGAUCGUACCUGCAGAUGAAUAUGAACGUUGCCAUCAUCAAAAAAGGAAACUCAACUCUGUACCACAAUUACAUAUGCUUUUUAAAUUUCUGAAUAAUCAAAUAUAAUGAUUAUAAAAAAAUUAUAUUGUUCAUCUCAUUAUCUUAAAUCACAAAGCUGCAGACUCUAUAAUUUUUUUUGGCAAUCAAAAAAAUUAUAUUGUUCAUCUCAUUAUCUAAAAUCACAAAGCUUCAGACUCUAUAAUUUUUUUUGGCAAUCAAACGGACUAUAUAAUUGGACAACGAAACGCUACGGGUUCUUACCAUUGAGGUUCUUGCCGAUGGGUUUAGUCAGACCGGAGGAGACCGACGUCUGGCCUUUGGCUGUCUUCGAGUGGGGAUCGCCGAUCGUGAGGCCGGAAGAGACAUAGGGUGCACCGAUGGGCUUGAUCGGUCCGGGUAAGGAGUCAGCCUCAACGCCUUUUGGUUUCUCCGAGUUGGAAUCACUUGCAAACGUGGAUUUUCCGAUGGAACUCAUCGCAAUGUACUAAUGAGAAUAGACAACGAAGCUUAAUCGGAAUAAAGCUCUGAUCAAGAGUUUUAUAAAUUAAAUCUGAAUGAGAAAAGCCUAGAGAAGCCAUAAAUAAAUGAGGGUGAAGGGAGAUGUAUCGAUUGUUCGUUUGUCAGAUCGUGAAACGGAAGAAGAAGUGGAAGAGCAAAGGAACAGAACAAAGAAAAGGAAGAGCAAAGGGGUGAUGAAUCGAUCUGAAAAUUAGGGUGCGUAGAAAUGAGAAAGGGCGAGAUCAAGAGGUGAGGUAUCAGAUGUCCGUCUCGCAAAUCUGAUGGGCUACAUGGGCCAAUAAUGUAACACGACAUAUUAACAAAAGAAAUCGGUAAGCCCAAGUUAUACAACCACAAUCUAACGUGGAAAAAAACUGUAAUGUGAUUGGACGAUUAUAAUGUCCUACGUGGACAGGCUCUCUGAUCAGCUUAUUCCCCUUUUAAUACUUGUUUGAUAUUAUUAUUUUUAUAUAAAUUCAUUAUUAUGGUGACAAAAUGCAUUAUUUUUAUUAACUACUUUUUACAAGUUUUAGUAAAUAACAGUACAGUAAAUACUAUUAACUAUUUCGAAGUGUCUAAUUUACCUUUACUACCUAAUAAAAAGCAUAUUGAAAAUAUAAAAAAAUGUAUAUUUUAUAACAAUUUUUUAAAACAUGGAUUAUUUUGAAACGAGUAAAGUAUAUAUUUAAGUUAUAACUUUAAAAAUAGAAAACAUUGAAAAUUAUAUAUUUUGCCCCGUUUCUAAUAAUUGUGGCAUUGUUCAAAUUCCCUAAACGUCAUUUAUGAGAAACUUUGAAUCAAACGAGGCAUGAAUGCAUGAUGUUACUAAUUAGUAAUUACAUACCCACACGGAUUACGAUUAUUUUGUGGCAAAUUGAUGUGUAAGUGUAUACAAAGUCUUGUGUAAUUUACGAUACUUGUCACAUCCUUAAUGAUUAAUUAAUUAUUACAUCGAAUCCCUUGACUUCACUCAAACACAUUCACGAUGACGCCAUCUGAUGCAACACAAGAAAAUAUUAAUACACACACAUAUACAAUAUAUAUACGUGUAAAACAUGAGAUUCUGUUAGCGAUUAUAUAAGUUCCAUUUUCCCCCAUAGUUGUGUCUUCUUGUCCUAACCACGCUCUUCAAUAAAGUCAUUUCCCUAACGUUCUUGGCAAAGAUAUUUUCGACCUUUCAAUGUCAGAAGAACUUCAAGAAUCAGAGGUUAUAUUUUCCGAUGAAUAUUAUACCAGGAACAAGAACAAGAGUAGCAUCGACGAGAACAACAAAACAAAGACGACGGCGAUGGAGAAAAAGUCAUCUCCGGUGAGAAUCCCGUCGAGAAGUAUUUUCCGGCGUGCGGAGGAGGAGGAAGAGGAGGAGGGAGAGAUCACUCCGCCACAUAUAAUCAUCGGAAAACGAAGAAUGGAGGCGCAAAUGGCGUUUUCCUUUUGUACACUCAAAGGGAGAGAGUUGAGUCGUCACCGUAACUCCGUUCUUAGGAUGACCGGUUUUUUGGAAGUAUAAUUGAAAACAUUUCCGGUUUAGUUUGCUCUAGUUUGGUUCGGUUUCAUAUCGUUUUUCUCAAUUCUUCCUUUGGGGUGUAUACAACAGCACAGAAAAGAAACAACGGAGAACGAUUUUUUCCUUUACUUGCUGAAUGAAAGUUUCAAGUAAUAGGAAUAUAUUUUCCCAUGUUUUAUCAGGUAACAGUAAGAUGUUAAUCUUUUAAUAUUAUUUAUAUUAACUUAUUGUUUGGUUUCUUGAGAAGAGGAAAAACCAUAAGAAUCAAAUCUUAUGUUUAAAUGAGUUAUAUAUGGGUUUGCUUGUGAAGUAAUUGGUUUCUUGGCUUGUAAAAUUUGUUUUUGGUCCACAUCCGUGGGAUUCUCCAAUCUGCUUGCUAACAUGAACCAUAAAACUUUUUUUCGCUAUUGUGAACUCACCAGAAAAUCGACAUCUGGGAAAGGACUGUUAAAUUAAAUACAUGAUUUGUUUAAAUAAACCAAAUUGAUACCUUAAAAAAUCAAUCUUACUUUUGGUUGGGUAUAUGCAGAUGAUCCAAAUAUAUAUACUAAUCAACAUGGACUUUAUUUUAUGUUCAUGGAACGUUACAUGUCAUCUAUUGAACACACGAGUUAAAAAAAGAAGUAGUUGCUUAAUUACAAUUUAUAAAGUUCAGAUCAAUUAGUCAUUCGAGUAUACGACUAGUCACGAAUGACUAAUAUAUCUGAACAUAUAAAUUGUCAGCAACUACGACUAAUCACUCGUAUACUCGUAGUGUAUGUUUAACUUCAACCUAUUUAUUCAUUAGCUCCUUCCCUAUCUUUAGCUUUUAUUGGUCCAUAAGGACUACCAUUUUUUAUUUAGAAUUGGCUUCCAUAAGGACUACUUUACUACUAGAUUAAGGCUGGUAUAAGCUUAAACCUAUUUCUCAAAAGCUACGCUCUCAAGCUAUAUGACCGUUAGUCAUAUCCAUGUAAAAUUUAUUUUGCAUUUUAAUAGAAUACCAUUAAACAAUAUAAAUAGAAUACCAUUAAACAAUAUAAGGUAAUAAAAAAAUAAAAUAGCAGAUUAAGAUUUUUAUGGUAUAUAAUAACGCAACAAUGAAGCUUACGUUUUGGUAGAUUUCGAUUUUUUCAUUAACUAUAAAAUUUUAACAUGUGUGCUCUAUAUAAGAAAUAUUUUAAAAUGUAAACGUGAAAACAUGUUGAAAUCUAUAACAAAAACACUAUAUAUAUACAUACUCGGGAAUCAAUUCAACUAAUUAAUGCUAUAGUUCAGCCGAUACCACCGGCGUGGACCGGUUCCGCCUCCGUCUUUUCCGUGCUCUAUGCACUUUGGUAUGACUACCACCAAACUUCAACCGUCCUGUAUCCCUAAACCGGUCCUUCUCAGCUGUUAAAAUCACGCAUUCCGGCGGAGGUACCGCGUAUCGUACGGUAUCAUAACAAUACGAAUAAUACAUGUAACGCUCUCUGAACCGUCGCAUUGCAGCUGCUUGUUUAGGACUAAUGGUUGAGUAAUCGCUGGUCAUGAGAAGUUGGUCCGAGGCAGAACAAUUGAUAUUGUUGUAGUUAUCUCUGGUGACGGUGGUUAGUGACUCGGAGACAUUACAACCGUCAAGAGCAAUGUCUUUGAACUCAGAGACAAAAGGUGAAAAUGUGUAAUCGACUCCGAAUUUACCGCCGGAAGUAGCCCAGCUUGAGGCGUCCCAAAUGGUUGCGUAGAGAGACAUUGGCUUUUGCGGGUAGUCUCCUUUCAUUUCUUCUUUUCUUUUGAUUUCUCUAAUUGGCACAUCGUCUACCCAAAAUCUGUAAAUUAUAAAUUAAACAACAUUGUUAUAUAUUGAAUUUUAUCUUCCAUAUUUUUCCUAGGCUAAUUAGAGCAAGUUUAUCAAUAUGAUUUUCAAAUCUUGUGACCUAAACCGAUUCAGUCUUAAUCAAACUAAAUGUGAUCAUAUUCGUAUAUAUACUAUGCAAAUCCAGAAAUAAAUCCAAAGUGAACAGGAUCAUUACUCUCAUGCGUGUAAAUGAGAAUACAUUUGAAAUAUGUGUUUGCCGUGUACAUAUUGCGGUUACAUUUCAUGCACACUAUGAAAGCUAUUCAAAACCACAUGCACUAUCUUUUUCUUGACUUGAAAAACUACUUUUCUAGAUCACCUAACAAUGAGUUUAUUUUUUUUUAAAUUAGCUCGAAACAAUACUAUUUUACUCUCCAAAUCAUUUACCUAACAAUUUUUAAAACAAUGAUUAUAAGUUGUUGAGAAACAAAAGAGUGAGAAAGAGGAAACUAACAUUAUUUUGGUAGGGUUCCAAAGGAUGCUAUAACGGUGAAACUCCUUGGAAGGAUCAAACCAAAGACGGUAACGUUCUUCACGGCCACGGCUUGUGCUACCGUUUCCAUACAUAUUUGUCUGAAACCGCCACGGCUUCCCUUCAACGUUCCCUAAAAACUCUAUGUCUAAUUCGUCGUGGUUCUUCACAAACACAUCGCCGUUUGAUGUCUGGAUUGAAUGUUACUUCACAUCCAAUCACUUUUACUAAAUUUUAAGAAAUCGAAAAAGAUUAAUGACUUACAUAGAAGGCGACUACAAGACCGGCCGUGUUAGCUCCUGGCAACUUUAUCAACGAACUGAAAAAUCCAUGUUGAUACAUGCUUGAAGAUAUGAAUCCUGACCCUAUGGAAUUCAUUUAUAUAAUUAAUUUCGUAUUAAAUCUAUAUAAUUAAAAACCCAACGACUUUAAGUAGUGACAUAUUUUCAAGAAAAUUUAUUAACAAAGUUGACAAACGGUGAAAUAAAUAAAUUGAGUAUGUCACAUCAUUUGCUUUUACAUGAACAUGAUGAUUGAAUCUAGAUCAAGAUUUUGCAAAAGUCCUUUUUUUUUUAACUUUAAUUUUGCAAAAGUUCAUGUUUGGUAAAAGAUGGUAUAAUCGCAUGAUCAUGUGAAAACCAUUAUAACCUGAUUGAAUGUAUGAUACAAGAUGGUUUAAUCGCAUAAGUAUGUUAUCACCAUCGAGUUACCAUUCCAUUCAUAUCCAUUACUAUAAUGUCCAUGCAACUCACAAAAUUAAAAGUAGAGAUUAUCAUCAUUAUCAAAAACCUAAAACUCGAGUCUCUUAACGUGAAACUAAUUGUAUUUCUUGAGAAAUCUUUGUACUAAUAAUAUCUAAAUAAUUACUUGAAAGACAAGAAAAUUACCGGUGUAUUUGUCGAGGAGUAAUCGAACGCUGCGAUCAUCAGGAGAUCGAAUGAGAUUAGAUUCACCAAAUAAAUGAGAAAGACCUUCAUCGAAGAAUAUGGGAUUUAUGUUCUCCAAUCCCAAAACACAUCUCCAAGAAACGAUCGCCAUCAUCAUCACCAUCACCUUUAGUCGAUAUUUUAAAUCACUCAUAACUUCUUUUGUUCUCUUUGCAAUUUUGAAACACAAAGAGAAGAUUGAUUUGUUUUUCUCUUUCUAUGACUGGUCUAAGAUGUUUGUUAUUGGUUUUCUUCUCUUAUGAUGGCGUCAAAGUGGGAACAAAGACCAUAGAAUUGUCUAAGUUUUGCUCCUAUAUAUAUACUUUCUUUUUUGGUUCUCAACUAGUUCCUUUGCCAACAAUAGAUAAGUAAAUGUCACUAUUGUUAUAUAGUAACCUACUAAACCCAUCUUGAACUUUUACAUUAGACUUUUUUAUAUAGUAAAGAUAUAAUUCUAGAGCCGGUUAAUUAAAAAUGAUUAAUAAUUUAACACGUUUUUGAAAGAAUGGCGUGGAAAUAUGUUAAAAAAGAGUUAAUACCAGAGAUAGUGAUGGCUGGAAGAUCAAUUGCAAAAUCCUUGGUGAAUACUAGAGAAUGAAUGCUAUUAUAAAAAUAAAAUAAAAAGUUGUUUAUCCGUUUGGGUUCAUAAGAUAUAUUCAAACUCCCAAAACGUUUAUACAGAGAGAGUAGCAUUCAGACAGAGAACUUGACGCCUUCAUCAUCUGCUGAUGUUCCUUUAAACAAUGCAAGCUUGCCUUUGUUCUCUAGCAGCUUCAAGGCCCUCAUUAGAAUAGUCCUAUCAAUCCCUUCAAGUUCUGAAAAGAAAGAGAACAUAUUAGCAUUCACAUUGUACAAAACAACAACAACACCAUACUUAUACUAUUCAAAGCUAAUAAAACAAAACAGAGCAUGUACACUACUAUUCAAGAUACAAACUUGAAGCAAGAUGUGGAGAUUGAACAUAUAGCUAAUGAAAGAUUAAAUGGAAUCACCAAACCGGUGGUUAUGUCAAUUGAACAAUACACAACACAGAACUAACCAUGGAGAGCUUACAGAUGGUAAAUGAGUUUGAGAACAUGUCUGUUUCAAAUAUCUCAAAGUCUGAGACAGGUUUUUGUCAACUAACAAUAAAUCCCUAACUAAAACCGCCGAGGAUAAGGUGAAUCGGUCUGGAGAGUGGUACCUGACUCAGAGGUGGUGAUGAACAAUGAAGAUGAUUGAUGCCUUGAUAGAGAGAAAAAAAAAAGCGAAGACGAAUGUUUCUUUUUUUUGGAUUGAUUACUUCCCCAAACCAAACCGGCUAAAAGGCUUGUUCAAAAUUCAAAUAGACAAAUCCAAACCAGAGAAAUAACUAAACCGUAAUUGACAAAUUUAAAACAAGAGAAGAACCAAACCGAGCUAAUAAAAUCAGAAAAUAACAUUAAAAAAAAGAAGCAUGGAGAGGAUGAGAUAUAUUCAGAAAAUAACAUUCAAAAAAAGUUUUCACACAAAAUACAUCUUUGUGCUUUGUCUCUUCUAAAGUAAACUUGACUACUCAUACGUCCAAUUAAUGGGGGCACUUACUAAGCAGGCAUUUACACUAUUGACGCAUUGUAAAGAGGAUAUAUAAACAAACUUUUUUUUAACUAUGAACUGAUGUUACAGAAAUAAACAUUGAUGUAUCGAAUCAAGAAGAAGCUAAAGAAGUGAGCAUUUCCAAAGAGCCACCAAACACUUCUUUUUUUUAUGUGACAGAACAUAUAUGAAGUUUGAUGGUAAUUUCUCAAGGGGGGUUGUUAAGGAGUCAUACACUAUAUUAUUAACCUGACUCCAGAUUUGGAACUAUAGCCGAAGACAGCUCUAUAUGCGAGACCCGAACCGCACCUAUAAGCCUCUCCGGCAAUUCUUCCGGUGCAUUUGCCUGCCAAAACCAAACCAGAUUUGUUGUAUAAUACAAUAACCCCAACUACUUGAGAGCAAAACUUAUAACAUUAUGUGUCCGUUUGUCACCUGUACAAGGAAAGCCAUUUCGACACCCAACGAUGUGAUUACACCAAUGACGAGGCCCAACACUCCAUUCGCAACAGUUGAUGAACCAAUAUCCACAUCAAUCUACACACAUGAACACGAUGAAUCACUGAGUGAUUAUUGUUUACAGAGAGCUUUGAAUUCAACACUAUACAACUUCACUCACUUCUAAGUAUGUCGGGCCACGAAUGUAGUUGCAGUCCACUGCUUUCCCUAGGAGACAUGGAGUGCUUCCCACGCUUUGCCUUACUAUCCAUGACCCCUUGUAUAAAUUUCGGUUAAAUAAGGAAAAAAUGUCAAUAUACUUGUUAGUUGUAAUCACAAAGAGAAAGAGAAAUAAACAUACCUUAGGAACUAAAGGUAUAAGCUUUAGCCGACUAUUCCGAAAUUCAUCAUCACCAUCCACAAAUCGUUGCAAUAGAGACCCUGGUACAAGUUCUUUUGUCACAAAAUAAAACACCAUACUGUAGUGUGUUGACCCUGGAACCUAUACAACCAAAUAUGACUUUGAGGUUUGUACAUUAUGUUCUGAAUCUUAAUAAUAGUUUGGUUGGCAGAACUUACUUGAACAUUUACCACCAUUGAGAAUAGACCUUUCUCUGCAGCAACCUGAACACAUUUAUCAAACGACUCAAUAAUCAUGGAGAUACCUUUCUAAGAUGAAUCCAAAGGCAAGAGAAUAGUAUGGGAAGGGAAGUAUUUGAAGAUUUGAUUGUAAUAGUCUCUCCUUUAACUAACUAAAGAAGGAAGUUAACGAACAAAAGUCAAGUUGUAAUGUAUCUUACUUGUGCUGCACAGCCCUUACGUCUAGCCACAUGAUCUAUUCUUUUACUGUCUUUGAACCAAUCAACAGCAACGAGAUCCAUUAGAUUCUUCCCAGCAGGAAUCUUCAGCAUAUGAUUAAAUAGACAGGAACUGAAAUUAGCUGGAUACAAGAACCGAACCAUUCUAAAGAACUAAGUCAAAAAGGUUUACCGACCUUUCUUUUAUCAUCACAGAAGUUCUUGCUACGAACUUUGAAGUUGUUCCCAUCAGAAGUCCUCCAGCAGUUACGUGCAUUUUCAUUUUCAUUGCGCUUUAGGUUACCGGAGAAGCAUGACAGAUCAAUCUUGUGAGCAGGUUCUUCUUCUGAAUUUUCAAUUCACAUAAAACUAUUAGAUCUCAGGGUAGAAUUUUUAUACUUAAAUCAUAAGGUGCUCGCCUGUUUUCUUGACAUCAGUCUCUAUCUUACUUGUUUCACCCUGAAAUUGUACACAAGAAUGACGAUUCAAUACCACAUGCAGCUUAAUAUUAGAUGAUGAAAAGGCUUGAUAUUCAAACCUCUUGUUCUGAUUCAGCUAUCUGAAACUCAUCAUCAUCAUCUGAGUCUUCAUCCAUGAGCACAGAGUUUCUGUUGGCGGCAUUUGUUUGAUCAACAGAAAAGGCAGACUGAUGCAGAGACCUUCCACUCUUUCUCAAGCUCAAGGAAGAUGAUGCCAUGUUAACCAUAACAGGGAUCCGGGUAUGAACACCUCUCUCAUCUGUCUGUGAAAACCAUUCCCGCAAACCUGUGAUGUUACAACGGAUGAUAAUAAGUAGCCAGUGGGAUUCUCGUACCCUAAGGACCUGAACAAACCAGCGGAAAGGAAGCAUGAGAGAACUUACCAGCAACACUAUUCAGCAUCUGAAGAAGGCAAUGUUGUUGAAAUGCUGGAAGGUAGCCUGCACCCCACCCUUUCAGAUCAAUUUGUAUUAGAUGUUGCACCUGUGUUCUUGGCCUCCCAUUUCGUGGCUUUAGUGGGGCAAUAUUAUAUCCUCCACCUAAGAUAAACAAAAAACUAACAGGUUAGAUAUCAAUACAUCAAACAUUUAGUUAAUGCUGAGAUAUGUUUAGGUUCAUAAACUUACUCUCAAGAUGAGCACGGACACAACCAGGUUGUGGACCACAGUUAUCAUGCUCCCUAGAACGGAACAACACAACUUCACAGAAAGAGCGAAAUAAAUAACCGACAAGCUAUUAUAAAAACUACCUUUCCAGAUUAUAGCAUGAGUAAAGGAGGAAAGAAAGGUACCAUAACUCCCAUCAUCAUUCCGGCGCCAAUAGCGGACAUAACAAAGGUCACGAGGCCACACAACCCUGGAGCCAUUUGAUAUAAUUAGGAUAAAAGAAUCAAAGUAAACUAAAUGGUAGAAAAAAAAAUCAACGACAGCAUACAAUCUAGGCCCUUCAGGACAACCGAGUCUAUUUAGCUAGAGAUGUAUCAAAUUAUCACUUGUCAGUUAUUCAUUAAUAGAUUAUGUUCGGAAGGAGUGACUGUAACUGGACGAUGAUAUUUUAGGUGCAACAUUACAUUGGAAACCAGUCGAGCAAAAGUCUAUGAUAGAGCACUGCUGUGUGACCAUCCACCUCUUCCACUAAGCUACCAUACUGAAAGCUGCAGUCCCACCUGCACCCCACAGGGAAAGAAAAAAAAGAGGAACAAAAAUAACUUCAGGUACAGACCAGAACACUUAGAACAAAACACUUCUGGAUGCAUACUAUAGACAGAAAUGAAGAAAAAUGAACACCGUGCAGACAUGGAGAAACAGAAAGCAGAGAAGCACCUACUCAUAACGAGUGCCAUCCAUGCUCAUCACAAGUUCGAAUACUUCCUCACAUGUUGCCUCCACUACUCCAACAGCUUUCAUUGCCCUGCUGUAGCUUCUCGGCUGCACAUGUAGCACUCAAAUUAGCGGUUCUUGUCUAGAUAAAGUUUCUACAUAAUCAGCUGGCAAUCACGCCACAAAGAUGACAAGCUAUUAGAAACUUCCAUACAAGGUAAUCAACUUCAAGAAGCUCUUCAAAAAUCCGAAGACCUGUAGAAAAAACAGAAAACAAAGAAAGAUUAAGGUCAAAUUCUAGCUCUUUCCUUUACCAGUUCCUAUAGAAGAUAUAGCAGAUAACUAAGGAGAGCGCUUGAUUCCACAAGUUCCACACAAGAUAUAUAAUUUUGUGAUUUAACAUGGGAAAAUACUAAACGAUGUUGCAUUGCAACCCUGCAACACCACUAACCAUUUUGGCACUGAAGAAGACGCCAGUGUUUUCUAGAGAAAGCUUGGUUAUCAGAAUUCUGGUUCGCCAACUCUGCAUCAAACUCCUUAGUCCAGUCAAGUACAGAUGGCGGGGGACCUGCACAUUUGCUUGAGGUGAUUAGAUUACAGUCAGGACUGCAGCUGACCAGAUUAGCUCAUGAAUAAAUGAUUUCGGAACGAACCAUUCCCAAUAGUUGUCCGUCUAACUAAACGACGCCUAGAGUCAUCUUCAUCCUCCGGUGCACUGAAUCUUAAUAAAAUUGAAAAUAUUUAGUGCAUAACUAUAUGCAUAUUACAUAUCAGAUAGGGACUCACUGGCUUUCAUAAUCUGAAGAUGAAGCAGUCCUUCCAGUAUCCAUUCCAGACUUAUAUUCAAAUGCAACAUAUUGCUGACCAUUUGGAACUUGAGACUCUUGAUGCUGCGCCAGUGCAAACACACAGUGAGGUAAAUCAGAUAAAAGCACCAAUGUACGCAAGUCUAGAUAAGUAAAUAGGCAUAUGACAGACCUGGUCUAUAACAGACUCAAUUUUCUCCUUCCACAUAAGUGCUUCCUGGAUGUUGAACGCUGCCAUCUAGCAAAGAAUAUACUACUCCAUGAUUAACUAACAAGGUAAAAGGUAGUGGUAGCUAUUUUGGGAAGUAAAGAGAAGAUACCGUUAUUCUAUGGUGCUUUUCUUUCUUGUUAUAGACAGACAACACGUAAACCAUCUGCAGAAUAGAGUUGACAGCACAAACAAAUUUAAACGGCAUUAGUGAUGGUACAGUCAAGGUUAUGAUAAAUAGGAAGUAAACUUGGCAUGAAGAACCAUCAACUGAUUCACAACAAACAUUAUCAAAUGUCUUUAAACUGCAGAAAGAGAUUGUAAAUGCUGUAAAAAGCUGCCCUUGCUUUAGAUGACCUCUCUAAUUUAUUUGUUUAAGCUGUGGGAAUUUUAUAGCAUACAUAUAAGCAACAUGUGUGCAUUAAAUGUUAAUAUUCUCAAGAAACAUGGAAUACAUUUGCUAACCAAAUUUAGUUGAAUCAAGUAUUCUACAUAUUUACUUAGCUCAGAUAAGUUUUCCUCACAACUAAGAAAAUAUUUCUCUACCAAGCAGCCACUCCUACUUCCUAUAAUAGAAGCCUUCUUGUCCUACUCAUUAAGCCGGGAAGAGAAAAUAAGCCUAAAUUUUUUUCUGAAAACCAAAAAGGCAAAGAGAUGUAUUUAUAAGAAAGCUAGCUUAAAGACAUCAUAUCAAGAUGAGUGGUUGCAAUUCACAAAACCAUAUGCCAUCAAUCUAUAAACCCUUGUGAGUGACAAAAUAGUAACAGAAAGAGUAAAGUUAAGACUACUGACAUGUCCAUGAUGCGUCUUCAAGCCUCGAUCUUCAACUCUGCAGUUGCCAUCAAUUAACAUGGUCUUGAUAGGAACCUGUAUUCACCACAUGUAGAAAAGCAUCAUCAUUCAUCACUCACCCAUGUACAAGAAGAAAACCCUGAAACUCAAAUGGCAACUACACACACAUCCCAUAAGUUUAUAGUAGACUUUUUUUUCCUAUAAGCAUAGUGCCUUACAGUCUACUCUACUAUCUCACAAACAUACUUGGAAACCCAGAGACAUUUAAAUUAAGAAACCCAAAAGGGAAAGUUUGAAACUUGCAACUAAUACCUACUCAAAACAAGCAAAUCAAACAGAUACAAUUAGAUGAGGUUUAGACCUGAGAAUACUGAGGUUUCUUCUUGUAAUAGGCCAAAAGACGAGGCUCCAAAACGAAGUACCUCAUGUGAAUAUACGACCGUCCGAUCUUCCUCCUUCCAUACCUCACCAUCCACCCUUCGUACACUACCUUUGACAUUCUCCUUGUCCGUACGAGAAGGAAGAACAAGGACACAACUUUCCCCACGGAAAACCGAAACUAUGUGUAUUUCCGCGGGAGAUGAUCAUAUACUACUAGGACAUGACCUGUGUUGUUCAUCGGAGCUCCGGCGCCGGAAUCUGGUGUUGGAUUCCGGCGAAGAUUUUAAAGAGCUCAAAGUUCCGGAGAAAGAAUCAAGUUUGUAGACGACGAAAAAAUAAAGAGAAAGCGAUUCAACUUUGACAGAAACAGAAAAUUGAUUUCUUCUUCAGGACAAAACUGUAGAGAGACAAAGAAACAAAAUAAAAACUGAUUUAAAUGGACAACAAAAACUAAUCACGCCAAAGAUGUCUUCUUGUUGGAUAAACAAACAAAACAUAAUUAAUAUGGUAAUAAAUUUGAGUACUCACUAUAAUUCAUUAAUUUAAAAUUAAGACAUGUCAAAUCAGUUCGAAACACACAUUUCCGAUUUGUCGUCAUGUAUAGCUGACUAUUGGAGGUCGCUGACGGCGAGCUUAUAUUCCGUUAGACACGACGACGUAUCAACAAAUUAGAUGACGUGUGAGCCACAUACCAAAAAGUUUAUUUUUUUUUUUGCAGCGAAUUAUUCCUGCGUCAAAUUUAAAAAACUCGUAAUUUCAAAACUAAUUACAGAUCAAUAACUGCAUUAAUAAUUUUUUUUUUUAAAGAAAUCACAGAUCAAUUUUGCAGUGACCAGAUACGUAUAGAUUUAGCAGUGUAUUGGGUUUUGUUUUGUUGUUUUAUAAACAUAAACAAAUUUGAAAAAAAAAAUAUUACAUGGUCCAGUGGUCUUGCUAUGUGCUGAGCUAACGAAUUCAAAACCUCUUAGUCACUAAAUAAAUGAUAUGAGUUAAAAGAAAACUUAUAAUACAUGAUGAGUAUUGAGUGAAGAGGAUGAAGUGCUUGAAGCAUAACUACACUUAUGCACUCUGUUUUCCUUUACCUAACCUGAACUGUCUGUCCAUAAAUGCUAUUGCCAAACACCAAACCUCGCACAUGUAUCUAUGUAACUGUAACAUGGACUCACACACAAAUGCUUCAGGUUUGUUUCAUAGUGUGCCCUCCAACCAAGACAGGAAAGUAAUUAUUCAAUCAAAAUCUCGACAGGAGCGUCUCAGAUGCUUGAGAUCCUCGUGGUCUAACGUCAUUACAUAGCUGAUGAAUCUCCACGUUUCUUGUCUUUCAAACCUGAAAAUAAAGUUUGACACAUCUUUUACUGUUUUCUCUAUCCACUUUGUCCUAACAAACAAAAUGAUCGAUUCUAUCCACUUAAUAGAACAACAUCUCCAGACUCCAAUCUAGAGAAUCGUUUAUAAUAGCACGAGACUGAAAAAUGUUGGAAUGCUCAGGAUAUAGAAGCCAUAAUUUAUACCUUUUCUUGUAUUAGCAAAACAAGAAAUCUUAAGACAACAAUAUGUCUUAUCAAUGACAAGAAAACAGAUAGAGAAGAGCUUUAAAACAUUAAUAGAGAAAUAAACAUAUAGACAGUGAAAUGUACCUUUGCGCAUAUAGAGAAGAUGGAUCCCAGAGCUUCCACAAUCAUGUGGAAUGAACAAAGGCAAACUUUUCAAGUCAACGGCAUCAUCUAAGAGAGGAGGCUUCUUGUUAAAACCAGAGCACAUCUCACUGACUUGUCUCUUCAACCCAACAAACUGAGGCAUAACAUCGCUCCACCCAUCAAUUGAAAGACUAUUACCAAACAACUUAAUAGCACCCUUUCUAGUUGCUUCUACAGCUAAAAAAAUAACAUGAAAAAGAAGUUCAUCAGACGAAAGAUUACUUGUAAUCAAGAAAUUUCAUAGAAAGAAAGAGAGAGAGUGAGUGUGUGUGUAUCUACUGUUAUAAGGAGCUGCAAGAAGAAGGUUUGUGGGGAGACCAAUGCCAAGACCAGCGAGCGUAAUGCCAACACUGAAACCAACGCCGCAGCCAGCACCGACGUAGCCAAUGACCUCAGGGCCAAAACCAGGUCCCCAUCCGACGCCACAGCCAAUGCCAAUACCCAUUCCCCAAAAGGCUCCAUAAGUAGGAUGAACAGGAUUCCAUUUCUCAUACCUCCUGAAUAUACCCUUGAUGAUCAUCACCACCUAUGAAGUAGGUUUGAAACACAACCGUAAGAUUACCAUUGACCCACUAGAAUGAUGAUCUUCAAUACCCAAAUCAAAUGCACGUUGAAAGCUAUAGACAAUUAAACCAACACUAUGUAUAAUAUCACCAGCAAAGCAUAAAGUAGAUAUGAGAAACCAGUUCACUUGGUGGCAAACCAGACAAAUGAUGAAAACAAACAUUCAGACCAACUGGGAUAAAUCUAAGAAGAAACAGAGACAAAUAACAGAACAGAACAUCUAAGGUUUACCAUUAAUGGAUUGCUGUUUCAGCUUUUCUCUUCCGUUUCGAUCUUGUUCCUUCUUUGUUUUUCACCUUUGAUUGGAUUUGCAUCAGCCUUUUCGCCGACGGUAACCACUCGUCGUUUAGCGCUUGGAUAAAAGGAGGAGAAAAAAAGAACCGGUCCAGCUAUGCUUGACCGUAUAAUUCGACCCGGUUUACCAUCCAAAAAUCAAAAAAUUGAAAUUAAAUCAAUAAUUGGACCGGGUAAAGCGGAUGUAUACCGGAUCCAACUGAACCAGCAUUAGAGGAUAAACCUUAUCCAUUUCCCCCCACUCGAAAACAGAACAGAGAAAGAGAACACAAAAUAUUUUCCUCAAGCAAGAGAGAACAGAACAAACACAGCUCCUUUGAUGUUUUCUUGAAACCAGUACAAGAACAUACUUCAAGAGUGUACAUCUGCCAAUCCCCAAACGCAGCUAUAGCAAUGAUUAGAAAGUACCCAGGUACAACACAAAUAGUCCCAAGUCGAACUUUAUUGCAAACCAUCAAGUCAAUCGUCACGCAUAAUACAAACCAUCACACGACCGAAAGUAUGAAAAGAAAAUGAAACAAGAGCUGCAGACGACACAUGACCGUCGUGUAACUGAAAAGACAUUAAGGUAUUUGAUUUUAUGGACAAACCAGAGUAUAGAGUAAGAUAUUUAUCGUAAAAGUAUUCUUCAGAAGAGGCUUGUGUUGAGGUUUUUUUUAUUUUGGGUCAGCCGGCGACUUUCCUAGAGUAGGCAUUGGUGGUGGAUUGUGUUGGUCUAAUGAACAUGUCACGUGUUUCUCCUACACAUCCUGCCUUCAUCUGCAGCGGC
Molecule: long non-coding RNA, 30674 nt
Filed under: Brassica rapa (field mustard)
Lineage: Eukaryota; Viridiplantae; Streptophyta; Magnoliopsida; Brassicales; Brassicaceae
Description: long non-coding RNA (BRAP_LNC002190)
Source: RNAcentral